Molecule: RNA transcript, 2710 nt
Organism: Macaca mulatta (Rhesus monkey)
Lineage: Eukaryota; Metazoa; Chordata; Mammalia; Primates; Cercopithecidae
Gene: TERF2
Gene name: telomeric repeat binding factor 2
Source: RefSeq, a predicted model, not a curated record
AACGCUGUUCCUAUCAUGGCCGCUGGAGCCGGGACGGCGGGCCCCGCUUCCGGCCCGGGCGUAGUGCGUGACCCGGCGGCGUCACAGCCGAGGAAGCGGCCCGGCCGGGAGGGCGGGGAGGGCGCGCGGCGAUCGGACGCGAUGGCGGGAGGAGGCGGGAGCAGCGACGGCAGCGGGCGGGCAGCUGGCAGGCGGGCGUCCCGCAGUAGCGGGCGGGCCCGGCGGGGGCGCCACGAGCCGGGGCUGGGGGGCCCGGCGGAGCGCGGCGCGGGGGAGGCACGGCUGGAAGAGGCAGUCAAUCGCUGGGUGCUCAAGUUCUACUUCCACGAGGCGCUGCGGGCCUUUCGGGGUAGCCGGUACGGGGACUUCAGACAGAUCCGGGACAUCAUGCAGGCUUUGCUCGUCAGGCCCUUGGGGAAGGAGCACACCGUGUCCCGAUUGCUGCGGGUUAUGCAGUGUCUGUCGCGCAUUGAAGAAGGGGAAAAUUUAGACUGUUCCUUUGAUAUGGAGGCUGAGCUCACACCACUGGAAUCAGCUAUCAAUGUGUUGGAGAUGAUUAAAACGGAAUUUACCCUGACAGAAGCAGUGGUCGAAUCCAGUAGAAAACUGGUCAAGGAGGCUGCUGUCAUUAUUUGUAUCAAAAACAAAGAAUUUGAAAAGGCUUCAAAAAUUUUGAAAAAACAUAUGUCCAAGGACCCCACAACUCAGAAGCUGAGAAAUGAUCUCCUGAAUAUUAUUCGAGAAAAGAACUUGGCCCAUCCUGUCAUCCAGAACUUUUCCUACGAGACCUUCCAGCAGAAGAUGCUGCGCUUCCUGGAGAGCCACCUGGAUGACGCUGAGCCCUACCUCCUCACGAUGGCCAAAAAGGCUUUGAAAUCUGAGUCCGCUGCCUCAAGUCCAGGGAAGGAAGAUAAACAGCCAGCACCAGGGCCUGUGGAAAAGCCACCCAGAGAACCCACAAGGCAGCUACGGAAUCCUCCAACCACCAUUGGAAUGAUGACUCUGAAAGCAGCUUUCAAGACUCUGUCUGGUGCACAGGAUUCUGAGGCAGCCUUUGCAAAACUGGACCAGAAGGAUCUGGUUCUUCCUACUCAAGCUUCCCCAGCAUCACCAGCCCUCAAAAACAAGAGACCCAGAAAAGAUGAUAAUGAAAGUUCAGCCCCAGCUGAGGGUGAGGGUGGCUCGGAACUGCAGCCCAAGAACAAGCGCAUGACAAUAAGCAGAUUGGUCUUGGAGGAGGACAGCCAGAGUACUGAGCCCAGCGCAGGCCUCAACUCCUCCCAGGAGGCCGCUCCAGCGCCACCAUCCAAGCCCACCGUUCUCAACCAACCCCUCCCUGGAGAGAAGAAUCCCAAAGUACCCAAAGGCAAGUGGAACAACUCUAAUGGGGUUGAAGAAAAAGAGACUUGGGUGGAAGAGGAUGAACUGUUUCAAGUUCAGGAGAAAGGUGAACUCUGAAAUGAGUCUACUUUUAAUGUUUUCCAGCAGCACCAGAUGAAGACAGUACAACCAAUAUAACAAAAAAGCAGAAGUGGACUGUAGAAGAAAGCGAGUGGGUCAAGGCUGGAGUGCAGAAAUAUGGGGAAGGAAACUGGGCUGCCAUUUCUAAAAAUUACCCAUUUGUUAACCGAACAGCUGUGAUGAUUAAGGAUCGCUGGCGGACCAUGAAAAGACUUGGCAUGAACUGAAACAGGCUUUCAUUUCCACAGAAUUCACAGGAGCAUGGUUCCUAAUAAUAGCCCCUGAUAGUCUGCUGUUUCUUUCAGAAGCUGGGCUGGGAUGAGAAUUUUGGGCAACCUCCUUCAAUGUGGGGGAGGUCCCAGUUCCACUUCAUCACUGUUGGAGAUCAUGGAGCUAAGAAGCAGAGCCAAGUCCACCCAUGUCCUUGGCAGAGAUGACAGGCACAGAGCUUGUGCAGUGCCAGAAUAUCAUUAGUGUUUCCCUUCUUUAGUGGUUUGCUUAAAUUUAAAUCCCUGGUAAUCUGUAGAACCUUCUCCUAGGAAAUGGUGAAGUCUAUUAGGAGCCACUUGUGACUCCAUGACCUGUUAAAACCAGCAAUGUGAGUAUUAUUUGGAGUAAAUUUUUUCCACGUCAAGUUCUGGCCUUCUGAUGGCAAAUGCAAAGGAACUUAGUCUGUUAUGAACCCAGGUUGAUGAGAGACCAGUCCUUGUGGAAUAAGAUUCCCUUUAAAAACUCUUUAGCCAGUUGUGACAUCAACCCUAGACCUGUCUGCCUUGGCAUUUGCUCUCACCGUCUGCUGGGCUAUGUAGGCAGGUUUAUCCUCCACUUCUUAUGUGGUUGAACCAGUGUGUUUUUUGGUAAAAUGGUGACUGUAGAUAAGCUUAGUUCCCCCACCCCCUGCCCCCUGUCCCCUGCCUCUUUUCCCAAUUCCCUUCCUUAUGCUGGACUUUUAAAGCUUAAAAAAAAAUCCUGAUUGAAUAUAAAUGCCUAAUUUCAUUCUUUGUGAAAUGGUUGCUUCCUUCUAAUUCCCUAAUUGUGCUGUGUUCGUGUCUUGCACUGGAAUUCAACAUUCCCUUCUCCUUUUGUACUGUGUUGUGCUUGCUGUCUCUCCCGGACACCCUUAAAGACUGUCUUUUUAGCAAAAAAUUUCAGUAAAGUGUUUUCUGUAAUCUUUUUUUAAAAGAUGAGAACUAAUUAUUGUCCAUACUUGUAGCAUUCUUCAUUAAAGUCUUGCUUCUCUCAACUGUAA